This 446-nucleotide ribosomal RNA is filed under the name uncultured bacterium. Its description in RNAcentral is "partial 16S ribosomal RNA". It matches the Rfam family "Bacterial small subunit ribosomal RNA", at positions 338 to 795 of the family's 1533-position model. The record is from RNAcentral.
CCUACGGGCGGCAGCAGUCGAGAAUCAUUCACAAUGGGGGAAACCCUGAUGGUGCGACGCCGCGUGGGGGAAUGAAGCUCUUCGGAUUGUAAACCCCUGUCAUGUGGGAGCAAAUUAAAAAGAUAGUACCACAAGAGGAAGAGACGGCUAACUCUGUGCCAGCAGCCGCGGUAAUACAGAGGUCUCAAGCGUUGUUCGGAAUCACUGGGCGUAAAGCGUGCGUAGGCUGUUUCGUAAGUCGUGUGUGAAAGGCGCGGGCUCAACCCGCGGACGGCACAUGAUACUGCGAGACUAGAGUAAGGGAGGGGGAACCGGAAUUCUCGGUGUAGCAGUGAAAUGCGUAGAUAUCGAGAGGAACACUCGUGGCGAAGGCGGGUUCCUGGACAUUAACUGACGCUGAGGCACGAAGGCCAGGGGAGCGAAAGGGAUUAGAUACCCGUGUAGUC